GUGCACUUCUUGUGGUCUUCUUUCAAGGUCGAAGUGGGCUUGGUCUUUCUAGGCUCUAUGAGGUCUUGAGGAGGGGCAUGUUUGCUUUUGUCAUAGACGAGUAUAGCAGGAAUGUCUUCUAACGGGCAACCUAUGCCUGUGAUUUAAUAUCAUACAACUUUCAGCAACGGAUCUCUUGGCUCUCGCAUCGAUGAAGAACGCAGCGAAAUGCGAUAAGUAAUGUGAAUUGCAGAAUUCAGUGAAUCAUCGAAUCUUUGAACGCACCUUGCACUCCUUGGUAUUCCGAGGAGCAUGCCUGUUUGAGUGUCAGUUGUUUUUCAACCUACCUAUGUUUCUUGCUGGGUGAGGCUUGGAUGUGGAGGAAAAUAUGUGCAGGCCUUUAUGACUAUGUCAUGGGUCGGCUCCUCUGAAAUGCAUUAGCGGAGCUGCUUGCAACCUUGCUAUAGGCGUGAUAAAUAAUUUCUGUGCCAAGUGGGGUUUGC
Molecule: ribosomal RNA, 482 nt
Filed under: uncultured fungus
Lineage: Eukaryota; Fungi
Description: eukaryotic LSU rRNA
Rfam family: 5.8S ribosomal RNA (bases 156-309)
Source: RNAcentral